This 465-nucleotide ribosomal RNA is filed under the name uncultured bacterium. Its description in RNAcentral is "partial 16S ribosomal RNA". It matches the Rfam family "Bacterial small subunit ribosomal RNA", at positions 339 to 795 of the family's 1533-position model. The record is from RNAcentral.
CUACGGGUUGCUCCAGUGGGGAAUAUUGGACAAUGGGGGAAGCCCUGAUCCAGCAAUGCCGCGUGUGUGAAGAAGGCCUGCGGGUUGUAAAGCACUUUCGGUUGGGAGGACUGCUUCUAGCACUAAUAUUGUUGGAAGUUGACGUUACCUUCAGAAGAAGCACCGGCUAACUCCGUGCCAGCAGCCGCGGGAAUACGGAGGGUGCAGGCGUUAAUCGGAAUUACUGGGCGUAAAGCGCGCGUAGGCGGCUAGAUCAGUCGGGUGUGAAAGCCCCGGGCUUAACCUGGGAACUGCAUCCGAUACUGUCUAGCUUGAGUACAGGAGAGGAGAGUGGAAUUCCACAUGUAGCGGUGAAAUGCGUAGAUAUGUGCAGGAACACCAAUGGCGAAGGCAGCUCUCUGGCCUGAUACUGACGCUGAGGUGCGAAAGCGUGGGGAGCAAACAGGAUUAGAUACCCCCGUAGUC